AAUUUGGGGAAAAGAUGAUUGUUUUGGACAAGAUUAAAUUUGAAUUUUCAUAAAUUAGUUUUUUAUUUUAAUUUUUAUUUUAAACAUCUAUGAGAGGAAGUUAGGCUGCGCCCUAGGGAAGAAUUUGGAGAAAAUAUUUCUAGAGCAUAGAUACAAAUUGGCAUGAAAGAAUUUGUAAGCAAAUGGUAAUUAUAAAUGAUCUAUAAUUGUUCGUCUAAUGGAUAAGGUGUUUUUUUUUUUUUUAAUUAUAUCAAGUGUGAUGUCUGGUUCGAGUCGUUUUGUUAGAACUACUUCCCUUUCCCUUGUUACCCUCUUACCAAUUUUUCUUUUUCCUACAUAUAAAUAAUAUUUUUAAAAAUGGCCUAUUGCAAUUUGCAUCAUUGUUAUGGCUGUGUUGAGGGCCUUUGGGUUUCAACUAGGGUGGGGUUGAUCUUGGCAGUGUUCCCUUCUUAGCUGUAAAUGGUUUAGAGUCUUGCUCAUCAUGGGCUCAUUUCCAGGAUUUUUAUUGACUAUAACUUUCAAUAACAAGCAAAUCAUACGUCGCACCAAAUACAAUACAUAAAAACCCAAUCUUCAUGUAAAAAUGUGUGGAGUGGAAGCAUGCUUUACCCAAACAUUUUUCCACUAUUAGGGAAGUCUAUUGCUGUAAAAAAAUCCAGGUGAAGGUUUCUAGUACUAAAUCCAUUUUACAUCUAAUCUCUAGGUGAUGUCAAGUUUAUUAUAUUUUUAUGGCAUGUUUGGUUUGCUAAAGGAGAUCCUGCUUCACCGGUACUUCAGCAAGGUAUUCUAAUACUUUCUGUCUACCAAUAAGUAACAUUGUGGAUGUGAACUCAUAUAAUGAGUUGAAAGAUGCAAUUAGUCAGGGGAAAUGGGCAAGGGGUCCGUGGUCUGCAAGUGACAAAGAUGAGUUGAGGGUGAAAGAAGAAACAGGGGCAACAAUUCGGUGUUUUCCUUUUGAACAGCCCGAAGGCAGAAGUAAGACAUGCUUGAUGACGGGCAAUCCAGCAGAGGAAGUUGCAAUUUUCGCCAAGUCAUACUGAAUCUCCAG
Camellia sinensis is the source of this 1048-nucleotide non-coding RNA. The record is from RefSeq and is a predicted model, not a curated record. NCBI's taxonomy places the organism in Eukaryota, Viridiplantae, Streptophyta, Magnoliopsida, Ericales, Theaceae.